GAGCGAUCAUAAGGGAGCUGACUGCAAAUCUGCCGUCAUCGACUUCAAGGUUCGACUCGAGCAAUAGUGAGAGAACGUUGCCGCAGGCAACGGCUCGAAGGGUGAGGAGCUUUAGCUCCGAAUAAUCCUUCCCGCUAUAGAA
Molecule: small RNA, 142 nt
Filed under: Salmonella enterica subsp. enterica serovar Ordonez
Lineage: Bacteria; Pseudomonadati; Pseudomonadota; Gammaproteobacteria; Enterobacterales; Enterobacteriaceae
Also listed under: 5 other names
Description: RtT sRNA
Rfam family: RtT RNA
About the family: This family represents a bacterial cis-regulatory element known as RtT RNA. The exact function of RtT is unknown although it is thought that it may be involved in changing the cellular response in relation to amino acid starvation.
Source: RNAcentral